UGCCCUGAUAAUAAAUAGAAAGUCUCCAUCUACAUCAAACACCUGUGCCGGGUGGACAAAUUUGUAAACAAGUUAGUAUACUUCUUAAACUGAAGUCAGGGCCACACAAAAUCAGUUCAGGGGCCACACUUUGGCCACCUUGUUUUAAGUUGUCAUUUUUUGGAUCUGAUUAUUAGCAUAUAAUGACUGGACAAUUACUAAGAAUUGCUAUAAAAUAUUUGCGAUGUUUAACCUUAUUUUUUGUCUUCAAGGACAUGAAGGUCUUUCCUUUCUGCAGAAGACAAUAAAGUGAUGCAAGCAACACAAUCCUACAUUAAAACAUGUUGGUUUGUAAAGAAAAAUGCAAGCUUUUAGACUUUUUAUCUUCAAGCGUAUUAUUAAUUCAUAAUCCAGAUUUAGAAAAUGCAAAUUGUGCUCUUUCAUUAAAUGAGCAGAAAACAGAUUGUAUUUUUUCUUCAGUGCACAUUAACUACGAGAGAAAAAUCGUUUUUGUGAACUUCCAGCUUUGCUGCAGAUGGUUUCUGUUUUAAUUAAACUGAAAUUAAAAUGCUUUAAUAAAAGCAAAUUAAAUGGUAGCAGUGAAUCGUUAAUCAAAAUGAAAAAAAUGAGUGUAAAAGAAUACUAAUAGGAAUAAAUGCAGGUGUGUUUCUCUCUCCAUCACAGGAGGAGCUUCUUGUUGCAGCAGAGAUGAGGAGCUCAGAUGGUUUGGUGUUUAUUAAAAGGAGCAGGUUCUGCUUCCUGCCAUCAGCGAGCCAGCUCCUACCCCGAGGGUGCCUUAAGAAGUCGUCACCAGCUGGUGCACUCUGCAGCUUCAGUCAUCAGAGUGUUUUUGUGGAAGUCUGAUGUGAGCGGAGGGACGAGAAACAGAGGAAAGUUUCCUGCAGGUGCUUCUCUGCUGCCGGCUCUUCACUUCACUUCACAGGACUUCAGUCUCCUGAUCUUUGCUCUGUUUGUCUAGCAGUGCAGGCUGGGCUGUUUGAAAUGCGCUGGAGAAACCGCUGAAACACGAUCCUCACAGCGCUGCUUCAGCCGGGAGGGAUCAGGAUCACUGAAGCAAAAACAUGUUAAAGACGAAACAAAUGUGACCUCACACACACACACACACACACACACAC
Molecule: long non-coding RNA, 1115 nt
Organism: Austrofundulus limnaeus
Lineage: Eukaryota; Metazoa; Chordata; Actinopteri; Cyprinodontiformes; Rivulidae
Exons: 3
Source: RefSeq, a predicted model, not a curated record